RNAcentral lists this ribosomal RNA (253 nucleotides) under uncultured prokaryote. RNAcentral's name for it is "partial 16S ribosomal RNA". It matches the Rfam family "Bacterial small subunit ribosomal RNA", at positions 525 to 777 of the family's 1533-position model. The record is from RNAcentral.
ACAGAGGAUGCAAGCGUUAUCCGGAAUGAUUGGGCGUAAAGCGUCUGUGGGUGGUUUAUUAAGUCUACUGUUAAAGAUCAGGGCUUAACCCUGAGCAGGCAAUAGAAACUAAUAAGCUAGAGUACGGUAGGGGCAGAGGGAAUUCCCGGUGUAGCGGUGAAAUGCGUAGAGAUCGGGAAGAACACCAACGGCGAAAGCACUCUGCUGGGCCGAAACUGACACUGAGAGACGAAAGCUAGGGGAGCAAAUGGGA